Molecule: ribosomal RNA, 462 nt
Filed under: uncultured bacterium
Lineage: Bacteria
Description: partial 16S ribosomal RNA
Rfam family: Bacterial small subunit ribosomal RNA
Source: RNAcentral
GACGAACGCUGGCGGCGUGCUUAACACAUGCAAGUCGAGCGGAAAGGCCCUUCGGGGUACUCGAGCGGCGAACGGGUGAGUAACACGUGAGUAACCUGCCCCAGACUUUGGGAUAACCCUCGGAAACGGGGGCUAAUACCGGAUACGACACAGCUUCGCAUGGGGUCUGUGUGGAAAGUUUUUCGGUUUGGGAUGGGCUCGCGGCCUAUCAGCUUGUUGGUGGGGUGAUGGCCUACCAAGGCGACGACGGGUAGCCGGCCUGAGAGGGCGACCGGCCACACUGGGACUGAGACACGGCCCAGACUCCUACGGGAGGCAGCAGUGGGGAAUAUUGCACAAUGGGCGGAAGCCUGAUGCAGCGACGCCGUGUGAGGGAUGACGGCCUUCGGGUUGUAAACCUCUUUCAGCAGGGACGAAGCGUAAGUGACGGUACCUGCAGAAGAAGCGCCGGCCAACUACGUG